RNAcentral lists this ribosomal RNA (497 nucleotides) under uncultured bacterium. Its description in RNAcentral is "partial 16S ribosomal RNA". It matches the Rfam family "Bacterial small subunit ribosomal RNA", at positions 28 to 507 of the family's 1533-position model. The record is from RNAcentral.
GAUGAACGCUGGCGGCGUGCCUAAUACAUGCAAGUCGAGCGAACGGACGAGAAGCUUGCUUCUCUGAUGUUAGCGGCGGACGGGUGAGUAACACGUGGAUAACCUACCUAUAAGACUGGGAUAACUUCGGGAAACCGGAGCUAAUACCGGAUGAUAUUUUGCACCGCAUGGUUCAAAAGUGAAAGACGGUCUUGCUGUCUCUUCUAGAUGGAUCCGCGCUGCAUUAGCUAGUUGGUAAGGUAACGGCUUACCAAGGCAACGAUGCAUAGCCGACCUGAGAGGGUGAUCGGCCACAUUAGAACGUAGACACGGUCCAGAGUACUAAGGGAGGCAGCAGUAGGGAACGUGCCGCAACGGGCGAAAGCCUGACGGAGCAACGCGGCGUGAGUGAUGAAGGUGUCCGGAGCGUAAUACUCUGUUACUAGGGAAGAACAUAUGUGUAAGUAAAUGUGCAGAUCGUGACGGUACCUAAUCAGAAAGCCACGGCUAACUACGUG